RNAcentral lists this ribosomal RNA (253 nucleotides) under uncultured bacterium. RNAcentral's name for it is "partial 16S ribosomal RNA". It matches the Rfam family "Bacterial small subunit ribosomal RNA", at positions 524 to 776 of the family's 1533-position model. The record is from RNAcentral.
UACGAAGGGGGCUAGCGUUGCUCGGAAUCACUGGGCGUAAAGGGUGCGUAGGCGGGUUUUUAAGUCAGGGGUGAAAUCCUGGAGCUCAACUCCAGAACUGCCUUUGAUACUGAAGAUCUUGAGUCCGGGAGAGGUGAGUGGAACUGCGAGUGUAGAGGUGAAAUUCGUAGAUAUUCGCAAGAACACCAGUGGCGAAGGCGGCUCACUGGCCCGGUACUGACGCUGAGGCACAAAAGCGUGGGGAGCAUACGAG